GACGAACGCUGGCGGCGUGCUUAACACAUGCAAGUCGAGCGGAAAGGCCACUUCGGUGGUACUCGAGCGGCGAACGGGUGAGUAACACGUGAGUAAUCUGCCCUUGGCUUUGGGAUAGCCACCGGAAACGGUGAUUAAUACCGGAUACGACCACUCCAGGCAUCUGGUGGUGGUGGAAAGUUUUUCGGCCAGGGAUGUGCUCGCGGCCUAUCAGCUUGAUGGUGAGGUAAUGGCUCACCAUGGCUUCGACGGGUAGCCGGCCUGAGAGGGUGACCGGUCACACUGGGACUGAGACACGGCCCAGACUCCUACGGGAGGCAGAAGUGGGGAAUAUUGGACAAUGGGCGGAAGCCUGAUCCAGCAACGCCGCGUGAGGGAUGACGGCCUUCGGGUUGUAAACCUCUUUCGGUAGGGACGAAGCGCAAGUGACGGUACCUACUAAAGAAGCACCGGCCAACUACGUG
Molecule: ribosomal RNA, 464 nt
Filed under: uncultured bacterium
Lineage: Bacteria
Description: partial 16S ribosomal RNA
Rfam family: Bacterial small subunit ribosomal RNA
Source: RNAcentral